CAGUCAAUGUGGAAUGCAAGGGUCUGAAACCAGAUUGCAGAUUAGAAAGAAGAUUGUGUAUAGUUAAAUAUUCAUCAGUACAUUUGGUCAAAGAUUACUUUCUCAAAAAUUUUAGCAAUUACAGAUAAGACAGAUAUUGGUCUAUAGUUGUUGGGAUUCAUUUACCACAACAUUCUUGGCGAGUUUUCAUGCCGCUAUCUUGAUGAAUAUUCGUAUAUUUACAUACGUCGAUAGUUUUUGCUUGCUUAACCAUCAUGCAGAAUGACAAAAUAUCAAAGUCAUAGAAAAACUAUUUAAUACAGUUCAUUUAUACCCGUCCAGUUCAUUUAUAUUAAAAGCGUUUUUGUAACCAAACUUUUAUUUGGCUUUUGAUAUUCAUAUAACAUUCAAAACCUGUGUCGAACUUAAUCUAUAAAACUUAAUUAUCUAAAAACAACCCGAAAAAGACCCUCUUCCCUGUCAGGGCAACUUGAUUGCCAAUAGUUAACAAUUGUCAGUUGAUUGUCAAUUAAUGGCCACAAAUAAAAUGUUAUAAGGGACGGACCAUUAGAAAAGUGUU
Molecule: non-coding RNA, 559 nt
Organism: Paramuricea clavata
Lineage: Eukaryota; Metazoa; Cnidaria; Anthozoa; Malacalcyonacea; Plexauridae
Source: the annotation of a GenBank genome assembly